GCCAGACUGGCUGCGCGCGACCGCCAGCAUUGUGGGUGGGACGAGCAACGCUGCAGCCGAGGCACCAGUGCGCGAGGCGUGUCGCGCCUGGGCAAACUGCAGCAUCACGCUGGCGA
This 116-nucleotide non-coding RNA is filed under the name Coccolithus braarudii. The record is from RNAcentral. Lineage: Eukaryota; Haptophyta; Coccolithales; Coccolithaceae.